UGAAUCGUAGCCAAGCUGGUAAGGCAAUAGGUUUUGAUCCUAUGAUCCCUGGUUCGAGUCCAGGCGGUUCAG
This 72-nucleotide transfer RNA is filed under the name Citrobacter phage Moon. It matches the Rfam family "tRNA". Rfam says of the family: Transfer RNA (tRNA) molecules are approximately 80 nucleotides in length. Lineage: Duplodnaviria; Heunggongvirae; Uroviricota; Caudoviricetes; Pantevenvirales; Straboviridae. The record is from Rfam by way of RNAcentral.